This 253-nucleotide ribosomal RNA is filed under the name uncultured bacterium. Its description in RNAcentral is "partial 16S ribosomal RNA". It matches the Rfam family "Bacterial small subunit ribosomal RNA", at positions 524 to 776 of the family's 1533-position model. The record is from RNAcentral.
UACGGAGGGUGCAAGCGUUGUCCGGAUUCAUUGGGUUUAAAGGGUGCGUAGGCGGGCAAAUAAGUCAGUGGUGAAAUUCCGGGGCUCAACUUCGGAUGUGGCAUUGAUACUGUAUGUCUUGAGACGAGUCGAGGUAGCUGGAAUGUGUAGUGUAGCGGUGAAAUGCACAGAUAUUACACAGAACACCAAUUGCGAAGGCAAGUUACUAGUCUUAGUCUGACGCUGAUGCACGAAAGUGUGGGGAGCAAACAGG